GGGGGCGACUUGGUUUCGACGUGGGUUGCAAAGCAGCGCAGGGCAUACCGAGGACUGGUUACCUCGUAAAUACAUCCAGAAAUCAAUAACUGCAAACGAUAACUCGUACGCACUCGCAGCUUAAUUGCUGCUAGGUCCACAACACCUCGCCCCUGGGGUGUGUCGCAAGACUCGUGGACUCAUUUACAGGGGCUCGCAGUAGGCCGGGUCACUUGGUCGACUGUUAAAUAAUAGGUGACUCGCCUGUCCAAAGGGUGCACAUCCCCGUUGUCCAGGUUAAAUUAAUUGAUAGUGCUAAGUAUGUAGAACUGUCUGUAGAGUGCUUGCGGACGCGGGUUCGAUUCCCGCCGCCUCCACCA
Massilia sp. LC238 is the source of this 359-nucleotide non-coding RNA. Lineage: Bacteria; Pseudomonadati; Pseudomonadota; Betaproteobacteria; Burkholderiales; Oxalobacteraceae. The record is from Rfam.